GAUGAACGCUAGCUACAGGCUUAACACAUGCAAGUCGAGGGGCAGCAUGAAAGUUUGCUUGCAAACUUUUGAUGGCGACCGGCGCACGGGUGAGUAACACGUAUCCAACCUGCCGAUGACUCGGGGAUAGCCUUUCGAAAGAAAGAUUAAUACCCGAUGGCAUAGUUCUUCCGCAUGGUAGAACUAUUAAAGAAUUUCGGUCAUCGAUGGGGAUGCGUUCCAUUAGCUUGUUGGCGGGGUAACGGCCCACCAAGGCAUCGAUGGAUAGGGGUUCUGAGAGGAAGGUCCCCCACAUUGGAACUGAGACACGGUCCAA
Molecule: ribosomal RNA, 316 nt
Filed under: uncultured bacterium
Lineage: Bacteria
Description: bacterial SSU rRNA
Rfam family: Bacterial small subunit ribosomal RNA
Source: RNAcentral